UACGGGGGGGGCAAGCGUUGUUCGGAAUUACUGGGCGUAAAGGGCUCGUAGGCGGCCAACUAAGUCAGACGUGAAAUCCCUCGGCUUAACCGGGGAACUGCGUCUGAUACUGGAUGGCUCGAGAUUGGGAGAGGGAUGCGGAAUUCCAGGUGUAGCGGUGAAAUGCGUAGAUAUCUGGAGGAACACCGGUGGCGAAGGCGGGUCUCUGGACAGUUCCUGACGCUGAGGCACGAAGGCCAGGGGAGCAAACGGG
This 253-nucleotide ribosomal RNA is filed under the name uncultured bacterium. Its description in RNAcentral is "partial 16S ribosomal RNA". It matches the Rfam family "Bacterial small subunit ribosomal RNA", at positions 524 to 776 of the family's 1533-position model. The record is from RNAcentral.